This 334-nucleotide unclassified non-coding RNA is filed under the name soil metagenome. Its description in RNAcentral is "partial contains 5.8S ribosomal RNA, internal transcribed spacer 2, and large subunit ribosomal RNA". The stretch from base 1 to 120 matches the Rfam family "5.8S ribosomal RNA", at positions 35 to 154 of the family's 154-position model. The record is from RNAcentral.
GAUGAAGAACGUAGCGAAAUGCGAUAAGUAAUGUGAAUUGCAGAAUUCAGUGAAUCAUCGAAUCUUUGAACGCACAUUGCGCCCCCCAGUAUUCUGGCGGGCAUGCCUGUUCGAGCGUCAUUUCAACCAUCAAGCCCUGCUUGUGUUGGGGUCCUGCGGCUGCCCGCAGGCCCUGAAAACCAGUGGCGGGCUCGCUAGUCACACCGAGCGCAGUAGCACAUCUCGCUCAGGGCGUGCGGCGGGCUCCAGCCGUUAAAGCACCCACCUUUCGCAAGGUUGACCUCGGAUCAGGUAGGAAUACCCGCUGAUCUUAAGCAUAUCAAUAAGCGGAGGA